UACGUAGGGUGCGAGCGUUGUCCGGAAUUACUGGCGUAAGAGCUCGUAGGUGGUUUGUCGCGUUUGUUCGUGAAAACCUGAGGCUUAACCUUGGGCGUGCGGGCGAUACGGGGCAGACUGGAGUACUGCAGGGGAGACUGGAAUUCCUGGUGUAGCGGUGAAAUGCGCAGAUAUCAGGAGGAACACCGGUGGCGAAGGCGGGUCUCUGGGACGGUACUGACGCUGAGACGCGAAACGUGGGGAGCGAACGG
RNAcentral lists this ribosomal RNA (251 nucleotides) under uncultured bacterium. RNAcentral's name for it is "partial 16S ribosomal RNA". It matches the Rfam family "Bacterial small subunit ribosomal RNA", at positions 524 to 775 of the family's 1533-position model. The record is from RNAcentral.